Molecule: long non-coding RNA, 381 nt
Filed under: Junco hyemalis (dark-eyed junco)
Lineage: Eukaryota; Metazoa; Chordata; Aves; Passeriformes; Passerellidae
Description: lncRNA (ENSJHYG00000008379.1)
Source: RNAcentral
CUGAAUGUGAAUUAGCUGCAAGUGUAGGCAAGGACAAGCCAAGCUCAGCAGAGUUUCUGCAGCCACGGUGAGACCUGGCUGGAAGCAGGGAUAAACCUGGGCAGCAGAGCAGGCCUGUUUAACCCUUCCAGCCUUCCUGACCUCCUCAAGCACAAACACCAGUUCUCUCUCCAUGCACUGUCAUUCCCUCUCCACCAAGGAAGCAAGAAAAACAGGUUACCGCUCAGCAAAGAAGCAAGUCAGAAUGAAUAUGAAAACUGCUGCAAAGAAGUCAAAUUCUUGAAAGCAAGGAAAGAUUGGAAACAUCUACCAAGCUUCCCCAGCCUUCAAAAAUUGGGUGUGCAGGCUGUGGAUAUUCAGGGGCAUCCCACAGAGGUGUGA